Molecule: transfer RNA, 82 nt
Filed under: Deltaproteobacteria bacterium
Lineage: Bacteria; Pseudomonadati; Myxococcota; Myxococcia
Description: tRNA-Leu
Rfam family: tRNA
About the family: Transfer RNA (tRNA) molecules are approximately 80 nucleotides in length.
Source: RNAcentral
GCGAGCGUGGCGGAACUGGCAUACGCACCAGGCUUAGAACCUGGCGCCGCAAGGCAUGAGGGUUCGAGUCCCUCCGCUCGCA